Non-coding RNA from Meleagris gallopavo (turkey), 561 nucleotides. Lineage: Eukaryota; Metazoa; Chordata; Aves; Galliformes; Phasianidae. The record is from the annotation of a RefSeq genome assembly.
AUGGUAAAACUGCUGAAGGUGAAUCCGGAGGCCUUGCAGACGAGGCUGAGCCCUCCUCCAGGCGUCUGGAUGGAUCUCAUAAGAACACAAGAGGACCCGACCUCCUCCACCUACAGCUUUACCACCAUCAGCCCUCGCACCUCCUUCGUGCUCCUCUUGGCUGCUUCUCGAUGGCUGAUGGCGGCCGUGACGUUGGACGUGUCCGGGGGCGGCCUCCAGACACCCGGAGGAAGCCUCACCCUCAUCUGCAAGGGCUCCGGAUUCACCUUCAGCAGUUAUGCCAUGCAGUGGGUGCGCCAGGCACCCGGCAAGGGGCUGGAAUACGUCGCAGGUAUUGGCAGCUCUGAUAGUAGCACAGCAUACGGGGCGGCGGUGAAGGGCCGUGCCACCAUCUCGUUGGAUAAUGGGCAGAGCACAGCGAGGCUGCAGCUGAACAGCCUCAAGGCUGAGGACAGCGCCACCUACUUCUGCUGGACACUUGGUGCUGUUGGUAGUGGUGCUGAUGCUUAUCGUAUCGACGCCGCUCCUGGAUUUCGUGCUGUCACCUUGAGCCCAGACUGA